RNAcentral lists this ribosomal RNA (406 nucleotides) under uncultured bacterium. RNAcentral's name for it is "partial 16S ribosomal RNA". It matches the Rfam family "Bacterial small subunit ribosomal RNA", at positions 29 to 526 of the family's 1533-position model. The record is from RNAcentral.
AUUGAACGCUGGCGGCAGGCCUAACACAUGCAAGUCGAACGAGUGGCGGACGGGUGAGUAAUGUCUGGGAAACUGCCUGAUGGAGGGGGAUAACUACUGGAAACGGUAGCUAAUACCGCAUACCAUCAGAUGUGCCCAGAUGGGAUUCGCUAGUUGGUGGGGUAACGGCUCACCAGGGCGACGAUCCCUAGCUGGUCUGAGAGGAUGACCAGCCAAACGGGAACUGAGACACGGUCCAGACGCCUACGGGAGGCAGCAGUGGGGAAUAGUGCACAAUGGGAGCAAGCCGGAUGCAGCCAUGCCGCGUGUAGGAAGAAGGCCUGAGGGUUGUAAAGUACUUUCAGCGGGGAGGCGUUACCCGCAGAAGAAGCACCGGCUAACUCCGUGCCAGCAGCCGCGGUAAUUC